GAGGAGGCAUCUCCUUAUCAUUAAGUUCCGACAGUUAAGAUGAGCAUGCGUGACAUUAGCUAGUUGGUGAGGUAACGGCUCACCAAGGCCACGAUGUCUAGGGGGAUCUGAGAGGAUUAACCCCCACACUGGUACUGAGACAGGGACCAGACUCCUACGGGAGGCAGCAGUAAGGAAUAUUGGACAAUGGUGGCAACACUGAUCCAGCCAUGCCGCGUGAAGGAUGAAGGCCCUAUGGGUUGUAAACUUCUUUUGUACGGGGAAAAAAACCCUUCUUACGUGUAAGAAGCUGAUUGUACUGUAAGAAUAAGGAUCGGCUAACUCCGUGCCAGCAGCCGCGGUAAUACGGAGGAUCCAAGCGUUAUCCGGAUUCAUUGGGUUUAAAGGGUGCGUAGGCGGAAUGAUAAGUCAGUGGUGAAAUCUCGCAGCUUAACUGCGAAACUGCCAUUGAUACUGUCAAUCUUGAGUACAU
This 472-nucleotide ribosomal RNA is filed under the name uncultured bacterium. RNAcentral describes it as "bacterial SSU rRNA". It matches the Rfam family "Bacterial small subunit ribosomal RNA", at positions 182 to 651 of the family's 1533-position model. The record is from RNAcentral.